Molecule: ribosomal RNA, 497 nt
Filed under: uncultured bacterium
Lineage: Bacteria
Description: partial 16S ribosomal RNA
Rfam family: Bacterial small subunit ribosomal RNA
Source: RNAcentral
GAUGAACGCUGGCGGCGUGCCUAAUACAUGCAAGUCGAGCGAACAGACGAGGAGCUUGCCCCUCUGACGUUAGCGGCGGACGGGUGAGUAACACGUGGAUAACCUACCUAUAAGACUGGGAUAACUUCGGGAAACCGGAGCUAAUACCGGAUAAUAUAUUGAACCGCAUGGUUCAAUAGUGAAAGACGGUUUUGCUGUCACUUAUAGAUGGAUCCGCGCCGCAUUAGCUAGUUGGUAAGGUAACGGCUUACCAAGGCAGCGAUGCGUAGCCGACCUGAGAGGGUGAUCGGCCACACUGGAACUGAGACACGGUCCAGACUCCUACGGGAGGCAGCAGUAGGGAAUCUUCCGCAAUGGGCGAAAGCCUGACGGAGCAACGCCGCGUGAGUGAUGAAGGUCUUCGGAUCGUAAAACUCUGUUAUUAGGGAAGAACAAAUGUGUAAGUAACUAUGCACGUCUUGACGGUACCUAAUCAGAAAGCCACGGCUAACUACGUG